Molecule: small RNA, 108 nt
Filed under: Marmota monax (woodchuck)
Lineage: Eukaryota; Metazoa; Chordata; Mammalia; Rodentia; Sciuridae
Source: RNAcentral
GCCGGGUGCAGUGGUGCACACCUGUAAUCCCAGCAGCUCAGGAGGCUGAGACAGGAGGAUCGAGAGUUCAAGGCCAGCCUCAGCAACUUAAUGAGAUCUAGGUCUCUG